Molecule: ribosomal RNA, 420 nt
Filed under: uncultured bacterium
Lineage: Bacteria
Description: bacterial SSU rRNA
Rfam family: Bacterial small subunit ribosomal RNA
Source: RNAcentral
UAAGGAAUAUUGCUCAAUGGGAGAAAUCCUGAAGCAGCAACGCCGUGUGGAGGAUGAAGGGUCUAUGACUUGUAAACUCCUGUAAAGAAGGAAAAAAUUCCCAUUAGAUGGGAGAUGAUGGUACUUCUGGAGUAAGCACCGGCUAACUACGUGCCAGCAGCCGCGGUACUACGUAGGGGGCAAGCGUUGUCCGGAUUUACUGGGUGAAAAGGGCGCGCAGGCGGGAUAAAAAGUCAGUGGUGAAAUCCUACAGCUUAACUGUAGAACUGCCUUUGAUACUGGUAUUCUUGAGUUCGGGAGAGGGAGACGGAAUUCCAGGUGGAGUGGUGAAAUACGUAGAUAUCUGGAAGAACACCGGUUGCGAAGGCGGUCUCUUGGUCAGACACUGACGCUGAGGCGCGAAAGCGUGGGGAGCAAACA